CCGCGGGAAUUCGAUUGAGUUUGAUCCUGGCUCAGAACGAACGCUGGCGGCAGGCCUAACACAUGCAAGUCGAACGCCGUAGCAAUACGGAGUGGCAGACGGGUGAGUAACGCGUGGGAACAUACCCCUCGGUUCGGAAUAACUCAGGGAAACUUGAGCUAAUACCGGAUAAGUCCGAGGUUUUAAUCGACCUUGGAGAAAGAUUUAUCGCCGGAGGAUUGGCCCGCGUCUGAUUAGCUUGUUGGUGAGGUAAUGGCUCACCAAGGCGACGAUCAGUAGCUGGUCUGAGAGGAUGAUCAGCCACAUUGGGACUGAGACACGGCCCAAACUCCUACGGGAGGCAGCAGUGGGGAAUAUUGGACAAUGGGCAAAAGCCUGAUCCAGCCAUGCCGCGUGAGUGAUGAAGGCCUUAGGGUUGUAAAGCUCUUUUACCCGGGAAGAUAAUGACGGUACCGGGAGAAUAAGCCCCGGCUAACUUCGUGCCAGCAGCCGCGGUAAUACGAAGGGGGCUAGCGUUGUUCGGAAUUACUGGGCGUAAAGCGCACGUAGGCGGAUCUUUAAGUCAGGGGUGAAAUCCCGAGGCUCAACCUCGGAACUGCCUUUGAUACUGGGGAUAUCGAGUCCGGGAGAGGUGAGUGGAACUGCGAGUGUAGAGGUGAAAUUCGUAGAUAUUCGCAAGAACACCAGUGGC
Molecule: ribosomal RNA, 691 nt
Filed under: uncultured bacterium
Lineage: Bacteria
Description: bacterial SSU rRNA
Rfam family: Bacterial small subunit ribosomal RNA
Source: RNAcentral